AAGUAUUUUGUCUCAUAAACAGAACUUUUUAAAGUGUUUGCAAGGUAAAACAAAUUAAGAAACAUGAGUUCAGUAAGUAACACACAUCAUACUUUUCAACAUCAUCUUGUUUCAGACUUGAACUACUCACAUUGUUAAUGACCACUGAAAUUUCACUUGUUAUCAAAAGCUUUGGGAACAGGUGAGAAAACCACAAUUAUGUAAGCAAACAAAUGGAAGCGUAGAGUAAAGAAGCAAACAAAUGGAAGCGUAGAGUAAAGAAGCAAACAAAUGGAAGCGUAGAGUAAAG
This 289-nucleotide unclassified non-coding RNA is filed under the name Hevea brasiliensis (rubber tree). Lineage: Eukaryota; Viridiplantae; Streptophyta; Magnoliopsida; Malpighiales; Euphorbiaceae. The record is from RNAcentral.